UGAGGAAUAUUGGUCAAUGGACGAGAGUCUGAACCAGCCAAGUAGCGUGCAGGAUGACGGCCCUAUGGGUUGUAAACUGCUUUUGUUUGGGAAUAAUCGACAUUACGUGUAAUGUUUUGCAUGUACCAUUCGAAUAAGGACCGGCUAAUUCCGUGCCAGCAGCCGCGGUAAUACGGAAGGUCCAGGCGUUAUCCGGAUUUAUUGGGUUUAAAGGGAGCGUAGGCUGUUUGUUAAGCGUGUUGUGAAAUGUAGGAGCUCAACUUUUAGAUUGCAGCGCGAACUGGCAGACUUGAGUGCGCACAACGUAGGCGGAAUUAAUGGUGUAGCGGUGAAAUGCUUAGAUAUCAUGACGAACUCCGAUUGCGAAGGCAGCUUACGGGAGCGCAACUGACGCUAAAGCUCGAAGGUGCGGGUAUCGAACAGG
This 424-nucleotide ribosomal RNA is filed under the name Verrucomicrobiota bacterium. RNAcentral describes it as "Verrucomicrobia bacterium partial 16S ribosomal RNA". It matches the Rfam family "Bacterial small subunit ribosomal RNA", at positions 355 to 776 of the family's 1533-position model. The record is from RNAcentral. Lineage: Bacteria; Pseudomonadati; Verrucomicrobiota.